CCUACGGGAGGCAGCAGUGAGGAAUAUUGGACAAUGGGCGCAAGCCUGAUCCAGCCAUGCCGCGUGCAGGAUGACGGUCCUAUGGAUUGUAAACUGCUUUUGCACAGGAAGAAACAACUCUACGUGUAGAGUCUUGACGGUACUGUGAGAAUAAGGAUCGGCUAACUCCGUGCCAGCAGCCGCGGUAAUACGGAGGAUCCAAGCGUUAUCCGGAAUCAUUGGGUUUAAAGGGUCCGUAGGCGGUUUAGUAAGUCAGUGGUGAAAGCCCAUCGCUCAACGGUGGAACGGCCAUUGAUACUGCUAGACUUGAAUUAUUAGGAAGUAACUAGAAUAUGUAGUGUAGCGGUGAAAUGCUUAGAGAUUACAUGGAAUACCAAUUGCGAAGGCAGGUUACUACUAAUGGAUUGACGCUGAUGGACGAAAGCGUGGGUAGCGAACAGGAUUAGAUACCCUGGUAGUCCACGCCGUAAACGAUGGAUACUAGCUGUUGGCGCAGUUCAGUGCUAAGCAAAGUGAUAAGUNUCCCACUGGGAUACGUUGCAAGAUGAAACUCGAAAGGAUUGACG
Molecule: ribosomal RNA, 566 nt
Filed under: uncultured bacterium
Lineage: Bacteria
Description: bacterial SSU rRNA
Rfam family: Bacterial small subunit ribosomal RNA
Source: RNAcentral